RNAcentral lists this ribosomal RNA (496 nucleotides) under uncultured bacterium. Its description in RNAcentral is "partial 16S ribosomal RNA". It matches the Rfam family "Bacterial small subunit ribosomal RNA", at positions 28 to 507 of the family's 1533-position model. The record is from RNAcentral.
GAUGAACGCUGGCGGCGUGCCUAAUACAUGCAAGUCGAGCGAACAGACGAGGAGCUUGCUCCUCUGACGUUAGCGGCGGACGGGUGAGUAACACGUGGAUAACCUACCUAUAAGACUGGGAUAACUUCGGGAAACCGGAGCUAAUACCGGAUAAUAUAUUGAACCGCAUGGUUCAAUAGUGAAAGACGGUUUUGCUGUCACUUAUAGAUGGAUCCGCGCCGCAUUAGCUAGUUGGUAAGGUAACGGCUUACCAAGGCGACGAUGCGUAGCCGACCUGAGAGGGUGAUCGGCCACACUGGAACUGAGACACGGUCCAGACUCCUACGGGAGGCAGCAGUAGGGAAUCUUCCGCAAUGGGCGAAAGCCUGACGGAGCAACGCCGCGUGAGUGAUGAAGGUCUUCGGUCGUAAAACUCUGUUAUUAGGGAAGAACAAAUGUGUAAGUAACUAUGCACGUCUUGACGGUACCUAAUCAGAAAGCCACGGCUAACUACGUG